UACGUAGGGGGCAAGCGUUGUCCGGAAUCACUGGGCGUAAAGCGCGCGCAGGCGGUCAUUCACGUCCGGGGUGAAAACCCAGAGCUCAACUCUGGGACUGCCUUGGAUACGGGGUGACUUGAGGAUCGGAGAGGCAAGGGGAAUUCCACGUGUAGCGGUGAAAUGCGUAGAGAUGUGGAGGAACACCUGUGGCGAAGGCGCCUUGCUGGCCGAUUUCUGACGCUGAGGCGCGAAAGCGUGGGGAGCAAACAGG
This 253-nucleotide ribosomal RNA is filed under the name uncultured bacterium. Its description in RNAcentral is "partial 16S ribosomal RNA". It matches the Rfam family "Bacterial small subunit ribosomal RNA", at positions 524 to 776 of the family's 1533-position model. The record is from RNAcentral.